Apodemus sylvaticus (European woodmouse) is the source of this 932-nucleotide long non-coding RNA. RefSeq lists it as uncharacterized. Lineage: Eukaryota; Metazoa; Chordata; Mammalia; Rodentia; Muridae. The record is from RefSeq and is a predicted model, not a curated record. The transcript is spliced from 2 exons.
UGAUCUGGGACACCUUGGCUGUGUUCCAUCAUAUAACACCAUAAGCAAAUAUAUUUGCUAUGCCCUUUUCUUGAUAGACUGACUUUUAUUAUGGUGGUUGUGGUGGUUUCAAUAUGAUUGAUUCAGGGAGUGGCGCUAUUAGGAGCUUUGGCCUUGUUGGAGUAGGUGUGGCUGUGUUGGAGGAAGAGUGUCUCUCUGGGGGUGGGCUUUGAGACCUUAGCUGCCUGUCUUUGAAGACUUCGAGACAGUCUUCUCCUGACUGCUUUCAGAUCAAGAUGUAAAACUCUGGGCUCCUUCUCCAGCACUGUCUGCCUGGAUGCUGCCCACCUUGAUGAUAAUGGACUGAAUCUCUGAACCUGAGAAGUGGAUCCUGCUUUGCCCUUAAGCCACAAGACCCAGAGAACCCGCCACAGCCUUUCUGCUCCUGCUUAAUUCCUGAAGACCCACAGCUGGGAGAAGUUCACUGUGCUAGGUAACCCUGUAGUGUCAACUUCCUAGGGUGUCUAUUUGGUGGUCCUGCUGCCGGAGCUGGGAUGCUGCAGUAGGCCUGGUAGGGCUGAAAGGAGCUCACUGUCUAAGUGCCUCAGAGGUGACAUACAGCCCAUAAUUCCAUACACAGAUUGUAGCAAAGCAGGGAGAUAUGGAAUGAAGCAAGAUUCAGUUGAAACACAUCUAGAUGAUAUAGUGAUAGUUACCACUGCUGUUGAUCCUGUUGAGGUGGGGCGGGGGGGCUUGGUGCUUUAAAAGCCUAUGCCAAGCCCAGAGUCUGUCUGUCUGUCUGUCUGUUUGUCUGUCUCCCUGACUUCCGACCAGGAUGUAGCUCUCAGUUACUGCUAUAGCACCAUCUGUGCCUCCAUGCUUCCUGCUGUGAUGAUAAUAGACUAAACCUCUGAAACUGUCAGCCAGCCCCUAUUAAAUGCUUUCUUUUAUAA